GUGACACCUUAUUUUUAUACCAACACUCCCACAAUUGGUGACGACAUCAAAGAAGACCUGCGACGCAUUGUUACGGAAGUCGACUUAGACGCCCUUCUCAUCAGAACAACUCAGACAGAGUCUGCUCUAUUCGAGCCAGAGUGUCGUCUUACCGGACCAUCACUAUGGACGCACCUAGACAAUCUGGAAAAACAAGUAACUUUCGUUCAGUCGUUGGAGUUUGCC
This is a long non-coding RNA of Ornithodoros turicata, 225 nucleotides long. RefSeq lists it as uncharacterized. The transcript has 3 exons. Lineage: Eukaryota; Metazoa; Arthropoda; Arachnida; Ixodida; Argasidae. The record is from RefSeq and is a predicted model, not a curated record.